GAUGAACGCUGGCGGCGUGCCUAAUACAUGCAAGUCGAGCGAGCAGACGAGGAGCUUGCUCCUCUGACGUUAGCGGCGGACGGGUGAGUAACACGUGGAUAACCUACCUAUAAGACUGGGAUAACUUCGGGGAACCGGAGCUAAUACCGGAUAAUAUAUUGAACCGCAUGGUUCAAUAGUGAAAGACGGUUUUGCUGUCACUUAUAGAUGGAUCCGCGCCGCAUUAGCUAGUUGGUAAGGUAACGGCUUACCAAGGCAACGAUGCGUAGCCGACCUGAGAGGGUGAUCGGCCACACUGGAACUGAGACACGGUCCAGACUCCUACGGGAGGCAGCAGUAGGGAAUCUUCCGCAAUGGGCGAAAGCCUGACGGAGCAACGCCGCGUGAGUGAUGAAGGUCUUCGGAUCGUAAAACUCUGUUAUUAGGGAAGAACAAAUGUGUAAGUAACUAUGCACGUCUUGACGGUACCUAAUCAGAAAGCCACGGCUAACUACGUG
RNAcentral lists this ribosomal RNA (497 nucleotides) under uncultured bacterium. Its description in RNAcentral is "partial 16S ribosomal RNA". It matches the Rfam family "Bacterial small subunit ribosomal RNA", at positions 28 to 507 of the family's 1533-position model. The record is from RNAcentral.